AGUAACUAUUGGAAACGAUAGCUAAUACCGCAUAAGAGUAGAUGUUGCAUGACAUUUGCUUAAAAGGUGCAAUUGCAUCACUACCAGAUGGACCUGCGUUGUAUUAGCUAGUUGGUGAGGUAACGGCUCACCAAGGCGACGAUACAUAGCCGACCUGAGAGGGUGAUCGGCCACACUGGGACUGAGACACGGCCCAG
RNAcentral lists this ribosomal RNA (197 nucleotides) under uncultured Streptococcaceae bacterium. Its description in RNAcentral is "partial 16S ribosomal RNA". It matches the Rfam family "Bacterial small subunit ribosomal RNA", at positions 142 to 334 of the family's 1533-position model. The record is from RNAcentral. Lineage: Bacteria; Bacillati; Bacillota; Bacilli; Lactobacillales; Streptococcaceae.